UCGCCGUGAUCGUAUAGUGGUUAGUACUCUG
This 31-nucleotide non-coding RNA is filed under the name Callithrix jacchus (white-tufted-ear marmoset). RNAcentral also lists the same sequence under 5 other names. The record is from RNAcentral. Lineage: Eukaryota; Metazoa; Chordata; Mammalia; Primates; Cebidae.